GCAAGUCGAACGAUGAAGCCCUUCGGGGUGGAUUAGUGGCGAACGGGUGAGUAACACGUGGGCAAUCUGCCCUUCACUCUGGGACAAGCCCUGGAAACGGGGUCUAAUACCGGAUAACACUCCUGCCUGCAUGGGCGGGGGUUAAAAGCUCCGGCGGUGAAGGAUGAGCCCGCGGCCUAUCAGCUUGUUGGUGGGGUAAUGGCCCACCAAGGCGACGACGGGUAGCCGGCCUGAGAGGGCGACCGGCCACACUGGGACUGAGACACGGCCCAGACUCCUACGGGAGGCAGCAGUGGGGAAUAUUGCACAAUGGGCGAAAGCCUGAUGCAGCGACGCCGCGUGAGGGAUGACGGCCUUCGGGUUGUAAACCUCUUUCAGCAGGGAAGAAGCGAAAGUGACGGUACCUGCAGAAGAAGCGCCGGCUAACUACGUGCCAGCAGCCGCGGUAAUACGUAGGGCGCAAGCGUUGUCCGGAAUUAUUGGGCGUAAAGAGCUCGUAGGCGGCUUGUCACGUCGGAUGUGAAAGCCCGAGGCUUAACCUCGGGUCUGCAUUCGAUACGGGCUAGCUAGAGUGUGGUAGGGGAGAUCGGAAUUCCUGGUGUAGCGGUGAAAUGCGCAGAUAUCAGGAGGAACACCGGUGGCGAAGGCGGAUCUCUGGGCCAUUACUGACGCUGAGGAGCGAAAGCGUGGGGAGCGAACAGGAUUAGAUACCCUGGUAGUCCACGCCGUAAACGUUGGGAACUAGGUGUUGGCGACAUUCCACGUCGUCGGUGCCGCAGCUAA
This 783-nucleotide ribosomal RNA is filed under the name Streptomyces sp. LKS-188. Its description in RNAcentral is "bacterial SSU rRNA". It matches the Rfam family "Bacterial small subunit ribosomal RNA", at positions 57 to 855 of the family's 1533-position model. Lineage: Bacteria; Bacillati; Actinomycetota; Actinomycetes; Kitasatosporales; Streptomycetaceae. The record is from RNAcentral.